Molecule: ribosomal RNA, 373 nt
Filed under: uncultured eukaryote
Lineage: Eukaryota
Description: partial 18S ribosomal RNA
Rfam family: Eukaryotic small subunit ribosomal RNA
Source: RNAcentral
CAGUAGCGUAUCUUAAAGUUGUUGCAGUUAAAAAGCUCGUAGUUGGAUUUCUGGGAGGGUGCCAAUGUCCGCCGUCGUGCGUGCGCAGCGGCGCCCUUCCAUCCUUCUGUUAACGCCUCUUGGCAUUCAUUUGCUGGUGGCGGGCUCAGAUAUUUUACCUUGAGAAAAUUAGAGUGUUUCAGGCAGGCUAGGUCGGAAUACAUUAGCAUGGAAUAAUGGAAUAGGACUACGGUCUCGUUGUUGGUUUGAGGGACUGCAGUAAUGAUUAAUAGGGAUAGUUGGGGGCAUUAGUAUUUAAUUGUCAGAGGUGGAAUUCUCGGAUUUGUUAAAGACUAACUUAUGCGAAAGCAUUUGCCAAGGAUGUUUUCAUUAA